Molecule: RNase P RNA, 374 nt
Filed under: Bruguierivorax albus
Lineage: Bacteria; Pseudomonadati; Pseudomonadota; Gammaproteobacteria; Enterobacterales; Bruguierivoracaceae
Description: Biostraticola sp. BGMRC 2031 RNase P RNA component class A
Rfam family: Bacterial RNase P class A
About the family: Ribonuclease P (RNase P) is a ubiquitous endoribonuclease, found in archaea, bacteria and eukarya as well as chloroplasts and mitochondria. Its best characterised activity is the generation of mature 5'-ends of tRNAs by cleaving the 5'-leader elements of precursor-tRNAs.
Source: RNAcentral
GGAGUUGACCAGACAGUCGCCGCAUAGCCGUUUUCCCUUGGGAAAACGGGCAUGGGGAGGAAAGUCCGGGCUCCAUAGGGCAGGGUGCCAGGUAACGCCUGGGGGACGUAAGUCCACGACAAGUGCAACAGAGAGCAAACCGCCGAUGGCCCGCCAUGCGGGAUCAGGUAAGGGUGAAAGGGUGCGGUAAGAGCGCACCGCGCGGCUGGCAACAGUCUGCGGCACGGUAAACUCCACCCGGAGCAAGGCCAAAUAGGGGUUCAUAAGGUACGGCCCGUAUCGAACCCGGGUAGGCUGCUUGAGCCAGCGCGCGAGCGCUGGCCUAGAUGAAUGACUGUCCACGACAGAACCCGGCUUACCGGUCAUCUCCGCUA